This 440-nucleotide ribosomal RNA is filed under the name bacterium enrichment culture clone Ptsts782_46.fa. Its description in RNAcentral is "bacterial SSU rRNA". It matches the Rfam family "Bacterial small subunit ribosomal RNA", at positions 55 to 512 of the family's 1533-position model. The record is from RNAcentral.
ACGGAAGUUACGAGGAAGCUUGCGAAUUGUAACUUUAGUGGCGGACGGGUGAGUAACGCGUGGAUAACCUGCCUACAUGACCGGGACAACACCGGGAAACUGGUGCUAAUACCGGAUACGCUCAUAGAUACACAUGUAUAUAUGAGGAAAGGAGCAAUCCGCAGGUAGAUGGGUCCGCGUCCCAUUAGCUAGUUGGCGGUGCAAAAGACCACCAAGGCGACGAUGGGUAGCCGGCCUGAGAGGGUGAACGGCCACACUGGAACUGAGACACGGUCCAGACUCCUACGGGAGGCAGCAGUGGGGAAUCUUCCGCAAUGGGCGCAAGCCUGACGGAGCAACGCCGCGUGAGUGAAGAAGGCUUUCGGGUUGUAAAACUCUGUCUUCAGGGAAGAAAAAAAUGACGGUACCUGAGGAGGAACCCCGGCUAACUACGUGCCACG